ACGGCUCCAUGUUCACCACACUACUGUAUUACAACAGCCAUUGUACUUUGCUACACAACAACCACGAGCUCAGCUUAAGUAAACACAUCGAUUAGCUAAGGAUUUGAUAGCCACAAUCUGGUGAAUAAAGUAAAUCGGAUGUUUUAUGCCCUAGAGCUGUAACGUUAAGUUUCUUGAGAAACCGGGGGUGUGAGUCAAGAGUUUUCCGUAACCAUGGAUACCACUCUAGAGUCCCUCGUGUUGCCUGAGGAAAGAGACACGCAUAGUUCAUUCUUUUUACGCUCAGUAUCAGUAAGAAAAUAUUUAUUUUAACCAGACAAGACAACAGUUCGUUACAAUAAACUGAAAACUACAUUUAACUCACCAAACCGUUAGCCGAGGUUUUCUACUGAAGUUGUUUCGCUCACACGUUAUUUUCGCCUACUUUGUGAAAACCCGUUCAUUUUUUCAUAGGGAAUUUUUCGUUCGUUGGAACCAGGGAGUGUUAAGAUGCUAACACUAUAAACUACAAACUUCUGGUCGAUUCUAUUCUGAACAUGGGGUUUUAAUUUAAUGUAUUCUGCCUUUACGGCUUCAACUAGGGAGUAAUGUGAACUUGUCUGACCUGUGAUCUCUUUUCAGUCUGCCCUCAACACACCUCUGUCUACACACACUCAUCAACUAACACAGAUCUGUCGCUCAAGAAAGCAAAGUGUGAAAAAUAAAAAUAAUAACAAAGGAGGUGAAAUAAAAUAUUUACUAAAUGCAGAUACUGGGGGUCUCCCAUUCACACACACAAACACAAGAAGCACUUUUAGACUCAUCUGUUAUCAGUGACGAGAAUGUCCACAUGUACUGCUUUGGGUAUCAGUUUACAGCCGGCUCUUGGCCAUAAGGCAGCAGAGCAGACAAUCUUUGAACAAGUUUUUUGUACCCUGUAACUGCUACAAAGUUCAGCGGUCAUUAUGUAACCGGCGCCCUCGGGAUGACUUGCACUUCUGUAAUACAGAUGUUUUGUUAAGGCGAUCUGCUGAAGUUUUCAUGUAGUCUAGUUCAGUUCAGUAGUACAGUUUAUGCUGAAUAACUCCUGCCUUCUCUUCAAACGGACUCCCCUCAGUGCUGGUUGGUGAAGAUGCAUCACAUCACCUGGACAGCCUUGCUGCUGUCAGUCACUCUGUCUGUGAGUUCUGGAGGUAACGUGCUGGUGUUCCCGUUAGAUGGCAGCCACUGGGUGAACAUGAAGGUCAUCAUUGAGGAGCUGCACUCCCGAGGCCACAGCAUUACUGUAGUGCGAGCCUCAGACAGCUGGUACAUUAAAGAGGAGUCUUCCCAUUACAGUGCCAUCACCAUCCCCACCGCUGGAGGCUUUGAUGAGGAGUUCUUUGGCACCUUUGUCAAUAGACUGCUGUAUAUACGGAAAGAACAAAAGUUCUGGAGUAAUUUGAUGUUUGAGUUAGAAGUAAUAGAGAAGCUCUCGGAGAUGCAUCAAAAAAUGUGUGAGAUGAUGGCAAUGAUGUUUGAAGAUGAGGCUCUUAUGAAAUCGCUCACAGAUGCCAAGUUUGACGUAGUCCUAACAGAUCCAGCAGUUGGUGGCGGAGUCUUUUUGGCUCGACGUCUCAGUCUUCCAUUGGUGUUAAACGUGAGGUGGACUGUCCAUGGAGAGGCCCACUAUGCCAUCGCUCCCUCCCCUCUCUCCUAUGUCCCCUACCCAAGAAUAGAACUGACAGACAAGAUGACUUUCUUUCAGAGGGUUCAGAACAUGCUGACAUAUGCCUUUGGUUUUUUUCAGUGGCAAAUGAUUGUUGCUCCCCACUACACAGCUUUCUGCAAACGUUUCUUUGGCCCUGAGGUUGACUAUUUCUCCUUGUUCCAGGAUGCUGAUAUCUGGCUCAUGAGGAAUGACUUCACCUUUGACUUUCCACGCCCAACCAUGCCCAAUGUGGUCUAUAUGAGUGGGUUCCAAUGCAAGCCUGCUAGACCACUUCCUGUUGACCUGGAAGAGUUUGUCCAAAGUUCAGGGGAGCAUGGGGUCAUCAUCAUGUCCCUGGGAACUCUGUUUGCAGAGCUCCCUAGUGACAUCACUGAGGAGAUUGCGGCGGCUUUUGCUCAGCUUCCCCAAAAGGUCAUCUGGAGACAUAAAGGGGCCAAGCCCUCGAGUCUUGGCAACAACACCUUACUGGUGGACUGGAUGCCCCAAAAUGACCUGCUGGGACACCCAAAGACUAAAGUGUUUGUAGCACAUGGGGGCACCAAUGGUGUCCAAGAGGCAAUCUCCCACGGGGUCCCGAUAGUUGGCCUGCCUCUGGUAUUAGAUCAGCCUGAUAAUCUUUUCAAAAUGGAGGUACGAGGAACUGCUAAGGUAGUGGAUGUUGCCACUCUGGACAGAGCAGUGUUUGUGGAGGCGUUAAGGGCAGUGCUGUAUGAACCGUCCUACAGGGAGAACAUGCAGAGGCUCUCCAGGAUCCACCAUGACCAGCCCAUAAAGCCUCUGGACCGCGCCAUUUUCUGGAUAGAGUUCGUCAUGAGGCAUGGAGGCGCCCCUCAUCUGCGCACACAGUCCUUCAGGAUGUCCUGGAUGGCUUAUCAUUCUAUAGACGUCAUACUGACUCUACUGAUGGCUUUGGUCCUCUUACUACUCAUUAUGUUCCUGGCCAUCAAGAAAUGUUAUUCCGUUUUAUUCAAAAAGAAAGUCAAAUGUGAGUAAUGUUUGAUGAAAUAGUGCUGUAACUAUGUAAGAACAUCUAGUAAUUACUAGCAUCAUUGUGCAGGUUGUAUGCAUCCUGUUAGGACAAAAAACUGCUUUUCAGUUAAAUGUAAUGUAAUGGCGCUUUUCUGUAAUCAUAAAAAUCAUAAAAAUGUAAGAGAAUUAUUAUUUGUCACUAUUUCGAAAUGUUACUACUUUACUUUUUAGGAUAUGGUCUUUCCAAAAUGAAUACAGGUGUGACUAGGGCUGAGGUAACAAUUUAGGCCCACAAAUUGUCUCUGUCACUCACUAAUAAAAUCUACAAAAUGGGAACCCUGAUUUCAAAGAUCUGA
Clupea harengus (Atlantic herring) is the source of this 3015-nucleotide RNA transcript. It is a transcript of the gene named UDP-glucuronosyltransferase 2B31-like, with no coding region annotated. The record is from RefSeq and is a predicted model, not a curated record. NCBI's taxonomy places the organism in Eukaryota, Metazoa, Chordata, Actinopteri, Clupeiformes, Clupeidae. The transcript has 3 exons.